CGCAGUGCUCGGGAGGAGAGCGGGUUCGGUGCGAGCUGCAUUACAGUUGUGCCUAAGAGCGAAGAGCUCCUCGACGUAAUGCGUUGCGCUGUUCUCAGCAGCCGCCUGAAAUGACCGUCAAAGCGGAGAAGACGUCAGAUAAGGAAGGAAGGGUGAUGGGAUGCAGAUGGGAUCUUCGUGGUCAGGAGUGACGAGACUGCGGCAGGAGGGUGGAGCUGAACGCAGGAACGGACAGCCUCCAGGAGCAGCCUAUUGACUGUCCGAGGAAAUCUGCAUUGUCCUCCAUUCGUUGUCUUCUCUCAAAAUGUGCAACACUUCUUUGACGCCUCUGCAGCUUGGAAUUCAGGGAUGGAAAGAAGUCGAAGCAAAAUGCUAUUUCCU
RNAcentral lists this long non-coding RNA (381 nucleotides) under Gallus gallus (chicken). RNAcentral describes it as "long non-coding RNA NONGGAT008910". Lineage: Eukaryota; Metazoa; Chordata; Aves; Galliformes; Phasianidae. The record is from RNAcentral.